Molecule: ribosomal RNA, 858 nt
Filed under: Lophomerum ponticum
Lineage: Eukaryota; Fungi; Ascomycota; Leotiomycetes; Rhytismatales; Rhytismataceae
Description: mitochondrial SSU rRNA
Rfam family: Bacterial small subunit ribosomal RNA
Source: RNAcentral
UUGAGGGAUGUAUAGUACUCUUAUGAGGCUAGUUGUGUUUGUGUAUAACAUAACACCAACUACGUUGGAUAAAAUUCUAGAUAGAAUACUGAUUAUGACUAUUUUCUAUCUACAAGUCUUGACCAAAUUACGUGCCAGCAGUCGCGGUAAUACGUAGAAGACGAGUGUUAUUCAUCUUUAACAGGUUUAAAGGGUACCUAGACGGUAUUAUUAACCCACAACAGGGAAAUAUUUUUACUAGAGUUUUAUAUAAGAAGGGGGAAUUUAGAGAGUAGGGAUAUAAUCCUUUAAUACUCUGAAGACUGGUAAUGGCGAAAGCACCCUCCUAUGUAACAACUGACGUUAAGGGACGAAGGCAUGGGGAGCAAACAGGAUUAGAUACCCUGGUAGUCCAUGCAGAUAAUUAUGAAUGCCAUAGACUAGAUAUAUUUUAGUUUAUAAAUGAAAGUGUAAGCAUUCCACCUCAAGAGUACUGUGGCAACGCUGGAACUGAAAUCAUUAGACCGUUUCUGAGAACAGUAGUGAAGUAUGUUAUAUAAUUCGAUAGUCCUCGUAAAACCUUACCACAAUGUGAAUGGUGUCAAAAUUAAUUUAAUCGCUUUCUGACCUAAGGGACCUCAAAAGCGGGCAACGCAGUUUGUCAUGGAAAGUCUAUGUAAAGGUGCCAGUUCUGGCUGGUUGUAAAUAAUGAUGAAAUAGAUCCAAAUAUUAAACUAAUAAGGAUGAUACAGGUGUUGCACGGUUGUCUUCAGCUAAUGUCGUGAGAUUGUGGUUAGUUCCAUAAAAUUAGCGUAAACCCCGGUUUUAUUUUUUAAUUAUUAUGAUAAAGCAGUUCGUCACGUAUAUCGAUAUUGAUAA